Molecule: ribosomal RNA, 471 nt
Filed under: uncultured anaerobic ammonium-oxidizing bacterium
Lineage: Bacteria
Description: bacterial SSU rRNA
Rfam family: Bacterial small subunit ribosomal RNA
Source: RNAcentral
UUCGCAAUGCCCGAAAGGGUGAACGAGCGACGCCGCGUGCGGGAUGAAGGUCUUCGGAUUGUAAACCGCUUUUCUUUGGGAAGAAGGUCCGUGUCGUGAACUCGGGCUCGACGGUACCAGAGGAAUAAGCCCCGGCUAACUCCGUGCCAGCAGCCGCGGUAAUACGGAGGGGCAAGCGUUGUUCGGACUUACUGGGCGUAAAGGGCGCGUAGGCGGAACAGUCCGUCCGAUGUGAAAGUGCUACCGCUCAACGGAGCAAAGCCAUCGGAAACAGCUGUUCUUGAGUCCGGGAGAGGUGAGUGGAAUUGCCGGUGUAGCGGUGGAAUGUGUAGAUAUCGGCAAGAACACCAGUGGCGAAGGCGGCUCACUGGCCCGGUUCUGACGCUGAAGCGCGAAAGCGUGGGGAGCGAACAGGAUUAGAUACCCUGGUAGUCCACGCCCUGAACGGUGGGCACUAAGUAGAGGGGUUUU